CCUACGGGUGGCUACAGUGAGGAAUAUUGGUCAAUGGACGCAAGUCUGAACCAGCCAAGUAGCGUGCAGGAUGACGGCCCUCCGGGUUGUAAACCUCUUUUAUAUGGGAAUAAAAUGUUCCACGUGUGGGAUUUUGUAUGUACCAUAUGAAUAAGGAUCGGCUAACUCCGUGCCAGCAGCCGCGGUAAUACGGAGGAUCCGAGCGUUAUCCGGAUUUAUUGGGUUUAAAGGGUGCGUAGGUGGGUUGUUAAGUCAGUUGUGAAAGUUUGCGGCUCAACCGUAAAAGUGCAGUUGAAACUGGCAGUCGUGAGUACAGUAGAGGUGUGCGGAAUUCGUGGUGUAGCGGUGAAAUGCUUAGAUAUCACGAAGAACUCCGAUUGCGAAGGCAGAUCACUGGACUGCAACUGACACUGAGGCACGAAAGUGUGGGUAUCAAACAGGAUUAGAUACCCCAGUAGUC
This 460-nucleotide ribosomal RNA is filed under the name uncultured bacterium. Its description in RNAcentral is "partial 16S ribosomal RNA". It matches the Rfam family "Bacterial small subunit ribosomal RNA", at positions 338 to 795 of the family's 1533-position model. The record is from RNAcentral.